This 465-nucleotide ribosomal RNA is filed under the name uncultured bacterium. RNAcentral's name for it is "partial 16S ribosomal RNA". It matches the Rfam family "Bacterial small subunit ribosomal RNA", at positions 28 to 507 of the family's 1533-position model. The record is from RNAcentral.
GACGAACGCUGGCGGCGGGCUUAACACAUGCAAGUCGCGGGGCAGGACCCGGGUUGCUGGGUACUCGAGUUGCCAACGGGUGCGUAACAGGUUGAUGCUCUGCCCUGCACUUCGGGAUCAGCCGGUAACCCUGCGUCUGAUGCCGGAAAGGCGCCAUUUUUCCUUUGACGGCUUCCAAGUUGUUUGGGUGUAGGAUGAGCUCGCGGCCUGUCAGCUUGUUGGUGGGGUAAUGGCCUACCAAGGCGGCGACGGGUAGCCGGCCUGAGAGGGUGGACGGCGACACUGGGCAUGAGAUACGGCGCAGACGCCGACGGGAGGAAGCAGUGGGGAAUGUUGCACAAUGGGCGCAAGCCUGAUGCAGCGACGCCGCGUGUGGGAUGACGAACUUCGGGUUGUAAGCGGCUUUCGCUAGCGACGAAGCUUUUUGUGACGGUACCUAGAGAAGAAGCACCGGCUAACUACGUG